GCUCAACUAGCCCAGUAAAGAAUAUUAUGACUAAGAUAAUAUACAACAAAUUAUCGUUAGUCUUCAACAGGAAAAAAUCUAAUAGAAUACAAUAGACAACAAGUUUUAGAUCAACAAAUGCAGCGGAAACAGCAAUCCAUUAGAAGAGUCACGUAGAGAAAGAAUUCUACUGUCUUCUAAGGUUUAAAAGUCCAUCAUC
This 199-nucleotide long non-coding RNA is filed under the name Panax ginseng (ginseng). RNAcentral describes it as "long non-coding RNA (PGIN_LNC007064)". The record is from RNAcentral. Lineage: Eukaryota; Viridiplantae; Streptophyta; Magnoliopsida; Apiales; Araliaceae.